GAGAAAUCUGCCUUCAACUCUGGGAUAACUCCGUGAAAACGGGGCUAAUACCGGAUAUGAAACCUGCGGGCAUCCGCGGGUUUGGAAAGUUUUUCGGUUGAAGAUGAUCUCGCGGCCUAUCAGCUUGUUGGUGAGGUAAUGGCUCACCAAGGCGACGACGGGUAGCCGGCCUGAGAGGGCGACCGGCCACACUGGGACUGAGACACGGCCCAGACUCCUACGGGAGGCAGCAGUGGGGAAUAUUGGGCAAUGGAGGAAACUCUGACCCAGCGACGCCGCGUGCGGGAUGAAGGCCUUCGGGUUGUAAACCGCUUUCAGUAGGGAAGAAGCGAAAGUGACGGUACCUACAGAAGAAGCACCGGCUAACUAUGUGCCAGCAGCCGCGGUAAUACAUAGGGUGCAAGCGUUGUCCGGAAUUAUUGGGCGUAAAGAGCUCGUAGGUGGUUCGAUACGUCGGAUGUGAAAAUCUGGGGCUCAACCCCAGACCUGCAUCCGAUACGGUCGAGCUAGAGUUUGGUGGGGGAGACUGGAAUUCCUGGUGUAGCGGUGGAAUGCGCAGAUAUCAGGAGGAACACCAAUGGCGAAGGCAGGUCUCUGGGCCAAUACUGACACCGAGGAGCGAAAGCGUGGGGAGCGAACAGGAUUAGAUACCCUGGUAGUCCACGCCGUAAACGGUGGGCGCUAGUUGUGGGAACCUUCCACGGUUUCUGCGACGCAGCUAACGCAUUAAGCGCCCCGCCUGGGGAGUACGAUCGCAAGAUUAAAACUCAAAGGAAUUGACGGGGCCCCGCACAAGCAGCGGAGCAUGCGGCUUAAUUCGACGCAACGCGAAGAACCUUACCAAGGCUUGACAUAUACAGGAAUAUGGCAGAGAUGUCAUAGCGGUAAAACGUCUGUAUACAGGUGGUGCAUGGUUGUCGUCAGCUCGUGUCGUGAGAUGUUGGGUUAAGUCCCGCAACG
RNAcentral lists this ribosomal RNA (960 nucleotides) under uncultured bacterium. Its description in RNAcentral is "bacterial SSU rRNA". It matches the Rfam family "Bacterial small subunit ribosomal RNA", at positions 119 to 1094 of the family's 1533-position model. The record is from RNAcentral.